Scophthalmus maximus (turbot) is the source of this 557-nucleotide long non-coding RNA. RefSeq lists it as uncharacterized. The record is from RefSeq and is a predicted model, not a curated record. Lineage: Eukaryota; Metazoa; Chordata; Actinopteri; Pleuronectiformes; Scophthalmidae. The transcript has 2 exons.
UCUCUUCUGUGAAGCAUCUGUAUGCAAAGCAGCACAACGGAAAACGUCUCUCCUACCCCCCCCCCCCCCCCCCCACUGUACUCUCACUAACAGUUCACUUGCUUUUAUUUGGAGACAAAAGAGUUGUGGAAGAUGUGAAACUUCAAAAACAGAAAGAAACAAAAACCCUAAAGAGACGAGAGGUGACAUCACACACAACCAGCGCUUCCUUUACCUUCUGACGUUGCUCCUGGAGUUUCUGUGGGACAUGUAGCGGCGGACACUCACUCUCGAAGGCCUGCAGGAAGAGCUCGUGGUCCGCCUGGAUGAGCUGCAUGUUGGGCUUCUUGGCUGCGGCCACCGCGGAGGAGGAGGAGGAGGAGGAGGAGGACGACUGGCAGAACCCGUUGGCUCUUCCUGCGGGACCACCAGCACAGCCCGCCGGGUGGUGGCUUCCACCGGAGGAGCCCUGCUUGUGUGGAGCCAUAAUCACAAUGAACCCCCAAAAAAAAUUGGCCUCAGAAACUUUAUCACCAGCUGACGUUUAAUUAAAAAAAAAAGAAAAAAGACGAAAGUAA